Molecule: ribosomal RNA, 506 nt
Filed under: uncultured bacterium
Lineage: Bacteria
Description: partial 16S ribosomal RNA
Rfam family: Bacterial small subunit ribosomal RNA
Source: RNAcentral
AGUGAACGCUAGCGGUAGGCCUAACACAUGCAAGUCGAACGGCAGCACAGGAGAGCUUGCUCUCUGGGUGGCGAGUGGCGGACGGGUGAGGAAUACAUCGGAAUCUACUCUGUCGUGGGGGAUAACGUAGGGAAACUUACGCUAAUACCGCAUACGACCUACGGGUGAAAGCAGGGGAUCUUCGGACCUUGCGCGAUUGAAUGAGCCGAUGUCGGAUUAGCUAGUUGGCGGGGUAAAGGCCCACCAAGGCGACGAUCCGUAGCUGGUCUGAGAGGAUGAUCAGCCAGCCUGGCACUGAGUCACGGUCCAGACUCCUACGGGAGGCAGAAGUGGGGAAUAUUGGACAAUGGGCGCAAGCCUGAUCCAGCCAUACCGCGUGAGUGAAGAGGGCCUUCGGGUUGUAAAGCCCUUUUGUUGGGAAAGAAAUCCAGCUGGCUAAUACCCGGUUGGGAUGACGGUACCCAAAGAAUAAGCACCGGCUAACUUCGUGCCAGCAGCCGCCGUAA